GAUGAACGCUGGCGGCGUGCUUAACACAUGCAAGUCGAACGGUGAAGGCGGAGCUUGCUCUGCUGGAUCAGUGGCGAACGGGUGAGUAACACGUGAGCAAUCUGCCCCUGACUCUGGGAUAAGCGCUGGAAACGGCGUCUAAUACUGGAUACGAGCUGCGAAGGCAUCUUCAGCAGCUGGAAAGAAUUUCGGUCAGGGAUGAGCUCGCGGCCUAUCAGCUUGUUGGUGAGGUAGUGGCUCACCAAGGCGUCGACGGGUAGCCGGCCUGAGAGGGUGACCGGCCACACUGGGACUGAGACACGGCCCAGACUCCUACGGGCGGCAGCAGUGGGGAACAUUGCACAAUGGGCGCAAGCCUGAUGCAGCAACGCCGCGUGCGGGACGACGGCCUUCGGGUUGUAAACCUCUUUUAGCGGGGAAGAAGCGAAAGUGACGGUACCUGCAGAAAAAGCGCCGGCUAACUACGUG
Molecule: ribosomal RNA, 468 nt
Filed under: uncultured bacterium
Lineage: Bacteria
Description: partial 16S ribosomal RNA
Rfam family: Bacterial small subunit ribosomal RNA
Source: RNAcentral